Non-coding RNA from Caenorhabditis elegans, 21 nucleotides. The record is from Ensembl. Lineage: Eukaryota; Metazoa; Nematoda; Chromadorea; Rhabditida; Rhabditidae.
UAGUUGAGUAGUUAAAAUGAG